UUAUGCUUUACUCUUCAGCCGU
RNAcentral lists this microRNA (22 nucleotides) under Blattella germanica (German cockroach). RNAcentral's name for it is "Bge-Novel-8_3p (mature (co-guide))". Lineage: Eukaryota; Metazoa; Arthropoda; Insecta; Blattodea; Blattellidae. The record is from RNAcentral.